GAUCCUGGCUCAGGAUGAACGCUAGCUACAGGCUUAACACAUGCAAGUCGAGGGGCGAGCAUGGUCUUAGCUUGCUAAGGCCGAUGGCGACCGGCGCACGGGUGAGUAACACGUAUCCAACCUGCCGUCUACUCUUGGACAGCCUUCUCGAAAGGAAGAUUAAUACAAGAUGGCAUCAUGAGUCCGCUAUGUUCACAUGAUUAAAGGUAUUCCGGUAGACGAUGGGGA
This 228-nucleotide ribosomal RNA is filed under the name uncultured bacterium. RNAcentral's name for it is "partial 16S ribosomal RNA". It matches the Rfam family "Bacterial small subunit ribosomal RNA", at positions 15 to 231 of the family's 1533-position model. The record is from RNAcentral.